Rosa chinensis is the source of this 608-nucleotide long non-coding RNA. RefSeq lists it as uncharacterized. The transcript has 2 exons. The record is from RefSeq and is a predicted model, not a curated record. NCBI's taxonomy places the organism in Eukaryota, Viridiplantae, Streptophyta, Magnoliopsida, Rosales, Rosaceae.
AAAUAAGGAGGGGAAGGGGACAGGAGAAAGAAAAAAAGAAAAAAAAUAGAAAGGAAAAACAAAGAAGAAGAGAGGAUGGGGACGAAGAAAAAGACGGGAAAGGAAGGGAAGAGAGAGUUGGAGAGUUUGGGUUUUUAUCGAAGGCAACCAUUUGGGUAUCUCUGGAUUUGAGGGGAGAGAAGCUAGAAGGUUUAUGUUGAUUUCCGGAAGCAAAGAUGAAGAAUUGAGAAUAUGAUCUCUUAGUGAAGGGGUUUUGCUUUGAGUUGGGUUGGUUGUUUCCGUUCUGCUCUAUGAUUCGAAAAGCAAACUGUGGAUGGAAGGAGGAGAUUUAGGAGAGGUGUUUCAGCCUUUGUUAUUCUUUUUCUGCUAUUCAAAGCUUUGAGCCUUUUGGGUUUUCCUUUUUUGGCUGUUCUUGUUUUGGGUCUGCUUAAGAACUGAGGCAACAUUAGAAGACAUAAUGCUUUGGAACAAUGUGUAUCGGCCUUUGAUGUUCAAGUAGAUAGGGCAUAUAUGUAUUAGAAUGUAAAACGAGAUGUUGAAUGAUUGGGAAAUGCUCCAUUUUAACAUUUUUGGCAUAUGGAAUGGAUUGGAUUACUCAUUUGAAGGCU